UGUGGACAUGUGGCCUAGUGGUCAUGGCAUCUGCCCGGUAAGUGGAAGGUCGUGGGUUCGAUUCCCAUCCCUUGACAC
Molecule: transfer RNA, 78 nt
Filed under: Cordylochernes scorpioides
Lineage: Eukaryota; Metazoa; Arthropoda; Arachnida; Pseudoscorpiones; Chernetidae
Description: tRNA-Thr
Rfam family: tRNA (bases 10-69)
About the family: Transfer RNA (tRNA) molecules are approximately 80 nucleotides in length.
Source: RNAcentral